Molecule: ribosomal RNA, 523 nt
Filed under: uncultured bacterium
Lineage: Bacteria
Description: bacterial SSU rRNA
Rfam family: Bacterial small subunit ribosomal RNA
Source: RNAcentral
AGUCAAUAGAUACCCGGGUAGUCCACGCCCUAAACGAUGCACACUAGAUUCGGGAGACUCUGAUGUCGUCCGGAUCGAAAGCAAAAGUGUUAAGUGUGCCGCCUGGGGAGUACGGCCGCAAGGCUAAAACUCAAAGGAAUUGACGGGGGCUCACACAAGCGGUGGAGCAUGUGGCUUAAUUCGAAGCAACGCGAAGAACCUUACCCGGGUUUGACAUGCUAGGAUGUCUUACGGUAAUGCGUGGAGACUACCCGCAAGGGUGAAACUAGCACAGGUGUUGCAUGGCUGUCGUCAGCUCGUGCUGUGAAGUGUCGGGUUAAGUCCUAUAACGAGCGAAACCCCUGUCGUCAGUUGCCAUCAGGUCAUGCUGGGGACUCUGGCGAGACUGCCGGCGUUAAGCCGGAGGAAGGUGGGGAUGACGUCAAGUCAUCAUGGCCUUUAUGUCCGGGGAUGCACACGUGCUACAAUGGUGCGGUACAGAGCGACGCGAAGCCGCGAGGCGGAGCAAAUCGCAAAAAACGCA